GCGGGCAGUACACCAACCUCCAGUUCCAGUCGACUUCCCUGGGGCUAGCCGACCAGUGGUCGCAGAUCAAGAAGAACUACGCCGC
This 85-nucleotide non-coding RNA is filed under the name Haptolina ericina. The record is from RNAcentral. Lineage: Eukaryota; Haptophyta; Prymnesiales; Prymnesiaceae.